Molecule: ribosomal RNA, 452 nt
Filed under: Alcanivorax sp. EF2B-B797
Lineage: Bacteria; Pseudomonadati; Pseudomonadota; Gammaproteobacteria; Oceanospirillales; Alcanivoracaceae
Description: bacterial SSU rRNA
Rfam family: Bacterial small subunit ribosomal RNA
Source: RNAcentral
UAGAGUUUGGAUCCUGGCUCAGAUUGAACGCUGGCGGCAGGCCUAACACAUGCAAGUCGAGCGGUAACAGGAGAAGCUUGCUUCUCGCUGACGAGCGGCGGACGGGUGAGUAACGCGUGAGAAUCUGCCCAUUUGUGGGGGAUAACUUGGGGAAACCCAAGCUAAUACCGCAUAAUCCCUACGGGGGAAAGCAGGGGACCUUCGGGCCUUGUGCAGAUGGAUGAGCUCGCGUCGGAUUAGCUAGUUGGUGGGGUAAAGGCCUACCAAGGCGACGAUCCGUAGCUGGUCUGAGAGGAUGAUCAGCCACACCGGGAUCUGAGACACGGCCCGGACUCCUACGGGAGGCACGCAUGUGGGGAAUCUUGGACAAUGGGGGCAAUCCCUGAUCCAGCCAUGCCGCGUGUGUGAAGAAGGCCCUAGGGUUGUAAAGCACUUUCAGUAGGGAGGAAGGC